RNAcentral lists this ribosomal RNA (253 nucleotides) under uncultured bacterium. RNAcentral describes it as "partial 16S ribosomal RNA". It matches the Rfam family "Bacterial small subunit ribosomal RNA", at positions 524 to 776 of the family's 1533-position model. The record is from RNAcentral.
UACGUAGGGUGCGAGCGUUAAUCGGAAUUACUGGGCGUAAAGCGUACGCAGGCGGCUGCGCAAGACAGGUGUGAAAUCCCCGGGCUUAACCUGGGAACUGCAUUUGUGACUGCGCAGCUAAAGUUUGUCAGAGGGGGGUGGAAUUCCACGUGUAGCAGUGAAAUGCGUAGAGAUGUGGAGGAACACCGAUGGCGAAGGCAGCCCCCUGGGACCUGACUGACGCUCAUGUACGAAAGCGUGGGGAGCAAACAGG